CCUACGGGAGACAGCAGUGAGGAAUAUUGGUCAAUGGGCGCGAGCCUGAACCAGCCAAGUAGCGUGAAGGAUGACUGCCCUACGGGUUGUAAACUUCUUUUCUCAGGGACGAAGCAAGUGACGGUACCUGAGGAAUAAGCCACGGCUAACUACGUGCCAGCAGCCGCGGUAAUACGUAGGUGGCAAGCGUUAUCCGGAUUUACUGGGUGUAAAGGGCGUGUAGGCGGGAAAGCAAGUCAGAUGUGAAAACCAUGGGCUCAACCUGUGGCCUGCAUUUGAAACUGUUUUUCUUGAGUACUGGAGAGGCAGACGGAAUUCCUAGUGUAGCGGUGAAAUGCGUAGAUAUUAGGAGGAACACCAGUGGCGAAGGCGGUCUGCUGGACAGCAACUGACGCUGAGGCGCGAAAGCGUGGGGAGCAAACAGGAUUAGAUACCCCUGUAGUC
Molecule: ribosomal RNA, 444 nt
Filed under: uncultured bacterium
Lineage: Bacteria
Description: partial 16S ribosomal RNA
Rfam family: Bacterial small subunit ribosomal RNA
Source: RNAcentral